RNAcentral lists this ribosomal RNA (484 nucleotides) under uncultured bacterium. RNAcentral's name for it is "partial 16S ribosomal RNA". It matches the Rfam family "Bacterial small subunit ribosomal RNA", at positions 30 to 507 of the family's 1533-position model. The record is from RNAcentral.
AUUGAACGCUGGCGGCAGGCCUAACACAUGCAAGUCGAGCGGAUGAAGGGAGCUUGCUCCUGGAUUCAGCGGCGGACGGGUGAGUAAUGCCUAGGAAUCUGCCUGGUAGUGGGGGAUAACGUCCGGAAACGGGCGCUAAUACCGCAUACGUCCUGAGGGAGAAAGUGGGGGAUCUUCGGACCUCACGCUAUCAGAUGAGCCUAGGUCGGAUUAGCUAGUUGGUGGGGUAAAGGCCCACCAAGGCGACGAUCCGUAACUGGUCUGAGAGGAUGAUCAGUCACACUAGAACUGAGACACGGUCCAGACUCCUACGGGAGGCAGCAGUGGGGAAUAUUGGACAAUGGGCGAAAGCCUGAUCCAGCCAUGCCGCGUGUGUGAAGAAGGUCUUCGGAUUGUAAAGCACUUUAAGUUGGGAGGAAGGGCAGUAAGUUAAUACCUUGCUGUUUUGACGUUACCAACAGAAUAAGCACCGGCUAACUUCGUG